Long non-coding RNA from Cavia porcellus (domestic guinea pig), 4269 nucleotides. RefSeq lists it as uncharacterized. The record is from RefSeq and is a predicted model, not a curated record. The transcript is spliced from 3 exons. NCBI's taxonomy places the organism in Eukaryota, Metazoa, Chordata, Mammalia, Rodentia, Caviidae.
GCUGUGCCCAAUGAGAGGAGGAAAUGAUCUGUCCCUACGCUGUGGUCAACUUCAAUAUCUCCAACUUAGAUUUUUAAGUUUGGACUUUCAAUAUCCAAGCUUUCUAUUUGCACCAGCCUGAGUUAUAACUGGGGAAAAUGAUUACCAGGAAUGUUUAAAUGGAAGUAAAAUCUAAUCCCAAACUAGAAGUGACAGAAAACUGGCAGUCUGCCCAAGCCCAGAGAGGCUUUGGGAAUCUGCCAACACUGGGGGCUUUGCAGUUCUACAUGAUUAUGUGUUAAUUUUCUGUUUCUCUGCUUUUCUGUCUUUCAAAGGAAGACUGGAGAGAAAAAACAAAAAACAAAACACAUUUCCUGCAUUGAAGAGAUUCCCAUGAAGAAUUCAAACCAGUUAGAUGUUUCCUAAAACCCUUAAUAAUGCUUGCUUUUCACUCAAACUACUUCUCCCUCUUCACAGGAAUCAAACUUAGGACCUGCACUUGCCAGGCAGGAAUCUGGUCACAUUUCUACGGUGCAGAAAUAAUAUGCAUGCUGUGGCAUCUUCUGGCCUUUAAAAACUGCUUUUUGAGCUGUGUGUGGUGGUGUAUGCCUAUAAUCCCAGCACCUAGCAGGCUGAGGCAGAAGGACUGUCACAAGUCUGAGGCUACCUAGUGAGUUCAAGGCCAGCCCAGACUACAAGGCAAGAUCCUAUCACAAGCCCCACCCCCUCAAGUGAGAUUUCAACAGGACUGAAUACAAGAGGCGCCACACUCAGAGAAAAUCAACUACAAACAGAGUGAGAGGGAUGCCACCACUCGGGAUCUGAGCAGCUGUGGGCUCCAACCCAGCAACCUGUGGGAGGAGGGCACUCCCGCCCGCCGUCGGAGGAGACUGAAGGAGAAGGAGCUGUCUCCAGAGGGCAAGAAGUAGAGUCAACAAAACUAGGGAUCACAGUGGCUGCAGUGGGAGCGAGUGAAACGGAAUGAGCCCUCCUGCCCCUUCCCCAUCAGUGGUUUGAGAAAGGGACGCACCACAUAGAAUUUAAAGAUUUAAGCAUCCUUGAGCCACGGUGCAGCAGUGGAGGGUGGGUACUCCUUCCUUCAGAGAGAAAACUGAAGUGGACUGAGCAACCUUGGCUGUCUCCUUAGCAGGGGUGGCAGGAUCACAGCUCCUCCCUUAGCUCCCAUCCUGCCCUGCAAUAAGCAGCUCAAGAGGACAGGGACUUGCUGGUAGAAGUGGCACGAAGGGGCUGUGCAAGGACUGGAGGAGCCAACAGGACUGGAAGCUGGCAGAGGGAGGAGGAGACACAGGGUGAGGAGUGGGUGGGCCUACAAGGGACACCGGCCCUGCCCCCACAUCUGGAGGCCAAGAUUAGCCCGGUACUCAAAAACAAGUCCUCCUCAGCCUUGGUGGUGUCCCCCAGCAUCGAUCUGGACUCUGAUUUGGACACCAGGAUAGGACUGUGGACACCAGGGGAAUGUCAUUAUUUUUUUUUCUCUUUCUUUUCCUUUUCUGUCUUUUUUGUUUAGGUUUUUACUUUUGUUUGUUCUGCUGACCUCUGCACUCUCUCUCUCCCUCUUCUAUUUUUUAAAAAUCCACUUUAUUUCAAAGAGAAAAGAUAAAACAAAAUUUUAAAACAUGCCAAUCAGGAGGCAGCAAUGGUACAUACACUGGGCAUUGUCAUCCCCAAAUCACCCAGUGCACAAGAAAUCUGCAUUCAAUUGUCCAAACAAUACCAGCACAAAUCUUUCUCUACAGUGAAAUCAGUAUUAUAACUAUCUUAACUGUUUUUCUUAUAUACAUAUACGUGCACAUAUAUCUAUGUUGUUUCAGCUUUUCACACUAGUGAGACAACAUGAUUGUUACACGUGUGUCUGGUUUAUUUCACUUAUGAGUAUGGUCUCAAGUUCCAUCCAUUUACCUAUAAAAGUCUCCAGUUUAUCCUUCUUUAUGACUGAGUAGUACUCCAUUGUAUAAAAAGACCACAUCUUUUAUCCAUUCCUCAGUCGAUGGGCAUUUGGGUUGUUUCUGAGAUCUGGCUAUUACAAAUUGUCCUGCUGUAAACAUGGGCACACAUAUAUCACUGUAGUAUGAUGUUUCCAAUUCUUUUGGGGGAGAUAUCCAGACAGGGAAUAGCUGGGUUGAAUGGGACCUCCAAUCCUAGUUUUUUGAGGAAUCUCUAUGCUGAUUUCCAUGGUGGUUGCACAAGUUGACACUUACACCAAUGGUGGAGAAGAGUUUCUUUUUCCCCACAGUCAUUUGGGCAUUUUGUAUUGGUUGAUUUCUUGAUAGAAGCCGUUCUUUCUGGGGUGAGAUGAAAUCUCAGUGUUGUUUCAAUUUGCAUCUCUCAAAUGAUGAGUGAUAUUGAACAUUUUUUCACACGUUCAUUUGCUGCUUGUAUUUCCUUUUCUGAGAAGUGUGCAUUCAUCUCAGAUGCCCAUUUUUGGAUUGGGUCUUUAAAUCUGGGAGGACUGAUUUUUUUUUUUUUUUGAGUUCUUCAAAUGUUCUCAAUAGUAAUCCUUCGUCAGAGGAAAAGCUGGUAACCAUUUUCUCCCAAGUAGUGUGUUACCUCUUCACUCUGUCGGUGGUUUCCUUUGCUGUGCAAAAGCUUUUCAAUAGGAUGAAAUCCCAUUUGUUGAUUUCUGUGCAAUCGGAAUUUUGUUCAUAAAGUAUUUGCCUACACCAACGUCUUCAAGAGUUUUACCUACUGUUUUCCAACAGAUUUAAUGUAUCUGUUUUAAUAUUAAGAUCCUGGAUCCAUUCUGACUUUAGCUUAGUACAUGGUGAAAGACAUGGGUCAAGUUUUAAUCUUCAGCAUGUGCAUGCAGUUUUUCCAGCACCAUUUAUUAAAGAGGUUGUCUUUUUUCCAGUGAAUGUGUUUGGCACCUUGUCAAAGAUAAGGUAGCUUAGUGUGUUUGGAGUUGUUUCUGAAUCUUCUAAUCUGUCCACUGAUUGUUGUGUCUGUUUUUGCCAGUACCAUGCUGUUUUUAUCACCAUAGUUUUACAGUAUAAUUUCAAUUCAGGCAUUGUGAUACCCCAUCUUGUCUUUGUUCUCCAGUAGUGCCUUUGCUAUUCUAGACCUCUUCUGGUUCCAGAGGAUUGUUUUCUCUAAUUCUGUGAGAUAUGAUAUUGAAAUUUUGAUAGGGAUUGCACUAAAUCUAUAUAACAGUUUCGGAAGCAUGGCCAUUUUCACUGUUCUUCCUGCACAACAGCAUGGGAUACCUCUCCAUUUUCUAAUAUUCUCUUCAACCUCCUUUUUCAGAGUACUGUUGUUUUCAAUGUAGAGGUCUCUUACAUUCUUGUUUGAUUCCACAAACUAUGCCUUACAGUGAGUUCUAAAACAGGCCUCUUAUUUCUGGAGAACAGAUCCAUCCCCUUGAGGAGUCCUGCUUCAGUAGCAGCGAGUCUCAUGGCUAAAAAGUUGUGUUAAGUUUCUGGGCUUCACAGAUUGGUGACAGAGGUCUGAUUACACUCAUAGCAGGGAACAAAACUGAUAAACGCUUGAGGAGGUAAAAAGAACACAACCUGGAAAUUUAUACUACUUGGUUACUAAGGCUGGACAAAGUCAACUUUAUGAAUUAUGCAACUACUAUCCUCGUGGUACAGCACAAUCUCAUACAGGAUAUAAAUGAAAUCUCCUAAGAUUUUGAGGGCCGUGAUGGCAGCUUGGGACCUCUUGAUUCACUGUUGUUUCUAGUCAAGUAACUGUGCUUCACAAUAAACUGCAGAGCUAAUUGUCUUUUCUAACACACAUUCCAGGCACCGUUGGUCUGCUGGGUAAUCUGGCAGCCAGCUCUAGGACUGACUACUACUACUCAGAAUGAGCUUCUAGCUGAAAUGCUGACUCUAAAGUCCUAAUCUAGACUAUACUAUAUUGACUGGAACAGCUUUUUAAAAGGCAGAUACCAUCUUGGAGCUGACAAGCAGCUGGUCCCUUAUAAUUAAGCCUUGGGCCUAGUUCAGCAAGUUUAAGGUCUGUCCUACAAAGGUGGUUUGUUCUGAGUCCCUCCUGUCAAUCUUCAAAAAUAAAAUAUUUCCAGAAAAGCACACUCCCACUAUCAACUACACUAAGUGGGGGUCAUUCAGUGUCAUGCAUCUUACUCUUGGUGUCCAAAGGAACAAAACUAUUAAAGGAGAACUCCGACGAAUGAACUCCUACUUAGCAGAUGGUAUUCCUAAAAUUAACAUAAAACCUACAAACCCCAUAAGUCUAAUUCUUCUAAUAGUUUGUCUUGUUUUCCUGGUUUUGAAAUGGAAACAUCCUUGACUCACAAUCUGGGUCUCAAUGUUC